This 253-nucleotide ribosomal RNA is filed under the name uncultured bacterium. RNAcentral describes it as "partial 16S ribosomal RNA". It matches the Rfam family "Bacterial small subunit ribosomal RNA", at positions 524 to 776 of the family's 1533-position model. The record is from RNAcentral.
UACGUAGGUGGCAAGCGUUGUCCGGAUUUAUUGGGUUUAAAGGGUGCGUAGGCGGCCUAUUAAGUCAGUGCUGAAAUAUCCCGGCUUAACCGGGAGGGUGGCAUUGAUACUGAUGGGCUUGAGUGGAGUCGAGGUAGGCGGAAUUGACGGUGUAGCGGUGAAAUGCUUAGAUAUCGUCAAGAACACCGAUAGUGUAGACAGCUUACUAGGCUCAGACUGACGCUGAGGCACGAAAGUGUGGGGAUCAAACAGG